Molecule: ribosomal RNA, 253 nt
Filed under: uncultured bacterium
Lineage: Bacteria
Description: partial 16S ribosomal RNA
Rfam family: Bacterial small subunit ribosomal RNA
Source: RNAcentral
UACAGAGGGGGCAAGCGUUAUUCGGAAUUAUUGGGCGUAAAGGGCGCGUAGGCGGCUUGGCAAGUGGAUGGUGAAAUCCCUCGGCUUAACCGAGGAACUGCCGUCCAAACUGCUUUGCUUGAGGCCGGGAGAGGUGAGUGGAAUUCCCAGUGUAGCGGUGAAAUGCGUAGAUAUUGGGAGGAACACCAGUGGCGAAGGCGGCUCACUGGACCGGUACUGACGCUGAUGCGCGAAAGCCAGGGGAGCAAACGGG